This is a non-coding RNA of Oryzias latipes (Japanese medaka), 585 nucleotides long. The record is from RefSeq and is a predicted model, not a curated record. NCBI's taxonomy places the organism in Eukaryota, Metazoa, Chordata, Actinopteri, Beloniformes, Adrianichthyidae.
UUUCCUUUUAAAGUACAUGCUAAAUUAAGAACAUUUUUGAGCUGAAGAGUUUUGAUUGUAUAUUUGCAUCAAUAGGAGUCUAAGGGUUAAUGAUUUCUUUGACAGGAUAGUGUGGGGAACAAAACACGGGCAAAUAAGUAUGAGUUUUUUUAUCCUAUUGCUGUCUUAGACAAGAUAAUAAAUCUGCCAAACUGUUAAGUCGGUCAGUAUUUAAAAAAUCUUUGUUUUUACUUUUUUUGUUUUUGCUAUCAUACUAAUUUAAAUAUUACAGUAACUGAAAGCUUUAAUACUUUGACAGAUCAGCCGAGUUGUCCUGCAAUACCAGUUCAAGUGGAGAUACUGAAGUGGACUCAGAUGACACAAUAAUAUUACAACACAGUCCUACAACAAGACGAAGAGUUGAAGACGCCUCUCUGGCCAAAGUGGUUGCUGUCAUUGGUGAGGAUGCAUCAUCCGUUGAAGGUCAUGUGAAUGUCCUGCAUAUCCAGUACAGCAAGGUGAGAGAGGAUAUACCAAAGAAGUACCCUUUCUUGAAGACAACCUCAGGGUUGUUUGAUGUUGACCGAAUGCAUCCAUCACCUGUCA